GCCGGAUAAUCGCGCUCAUAAGAGUGAGGAAAGUCCGUGCAUCCAAGGACAGACCUCCGGAGAAAUUCCGGACGGCGUGAGCCGGUGGAAAGUGGGACAGAAAUGGGGGUAAAUAUCUUUACGGAUUAUAGCCCCGCCAAAAUGCUAACAGCAUUUUGUUUGACUGCCGAUGGAUUUUAUAUCACAGGCGAUGGUGCAACGGUGAGGUAAGAGCAUCACCAGCAAUACCGGAAGGUAUUGGCUACCUAAACCCAGGUCGGAUGCAAGAUUGAAACAAGCGUUUGAGGUGUCCGCCGAGCUUGAAAAAUCGCUAGAGCUUGGGAGUAAUUCCAAGACCAGACAGAUGAUUAUACAAAAACAGAACACGGCUUAUGAGCUGCUUU
RNAcentral lists this RNase P RNA (383 nucleotides) under bovine gut metagenome. RNAcentral describes it as "Bacterial RNase P class A". It matches the Rfam family "Bacterial RNase P class A". From Rfam's summary of the family: Ribonuclease P (RNase P) is a ubiquitous endoribonuclease, found in archaea, bacteria and eukarya as well as chloroplasts and mitochondria. Its best characterised activity is the generation of mature 5'-ends of tRNAs by cleaving the 5'-leader elements of precursor-tRNAs. The record is from RNAcentral.